Non-coding RNA from Dermatophagoides farinae (American house dust mite), 327 nucleotides. The record is from RefSeq and is a predicted model, not a curated record. NCBI's taxonomy places the organism in Eukaryota, Metazoa, Arthropoda, Arachnida, Sarcoptiformes, Pyroglyphidae.
GUUCGGUCAUCAUGUAAUUAUGAUUCAAGUUGGCGAACAAAUCCCAUUUUCGGUGACUUUCAAAUUUUUCUUUUUUCAGAGUCCAUUAUUAUAAUUGAUGUAUGAUAAUUGGAAUUCGGAUUAAUAUAUGAAAACAUGGUCAAUGAGCAUAAAAUUUUCAUUGAUGAUCAAUGAUCAUUAGACAUAUAAUUGGUGCCGUCUUUAGAAAAACGAUCAUGGUAAUGAUGCCGAGCAUUACAAAUUUAUUGGUGGAUAUCUGGUCACUAACAUGGUACGAUGUCCAACGAAACAUUAUGUUCGUCGUCAGGUAACUUUGGAAUUUCGUUA